Molecule: unclassified non-coding RNA, 89 nt
Filed under: Pseudomonas sp. bs2935
Lineage: Bacteria; Pseudomonadati; Pseudomonadota; Gammaproteobacteria; Pseudomonadales; Pseudomonadaceae
Source: RNAcentral
UGUGGGAGCUGGCUUGCCUGCGAUAGCAAUGGGCCUGCUCACUAAUCGCGGCCUGAAAGAAUGCCAUCGCAGGCAAGCCAGCUCCCACA